This 1131-nucleotide long non-coding RNA is filed under the name Equus caballus (horse). Its description in RNAcentral is "lncRNA (ENSECAG00000046562.1)". Lineage: Eukaryota; Metazoa; Chordata; Mammalia; Perissodactyla; Equidae. The record is from RNAcentral.
AUUUGCUAUUUGUUUAAGAGAUGAAAGCCACAAACUUCCACACAUUCUUCUCCAGUUUCACUCCCCUCGAACUGUAUGGCCCGGCCAGAGCAGAGUGGUUCAGGGCAAGGAGGCGUUUCGAGAAUGCACACCGGGCCCAUUUAACGAGCUUUAUCAGGAACCCAGCGUGGUGAGGAUCUCCCCUCCUUUGGGCCAGCUGUCCCUUUAUGAAGACUUCACUGUGGUCACAAAAGGGAUGUGGUGAGGUGACUCAAGUCCUUCAGAACAAAUGUGAUCUGGACAGAAUCAGGAAGGGAGUGAGUGGAGAAAGUCAACUGAUGAUGUUGAGGGGCCAGCAGCGACGUUAGUCACAGCAUGGGGGCUCCCUGCUCCCUCCCCUCCCCCAGCUGCUGGAUCCUCCUUUUGAAUGCAAAGGAGAGACUGGGAGCUCUCCGCAGAGUCAAACGUGGAUCUCCAUCUCAAUGCCCAGAGACAAAGGCCAAAAAAUGCACAUAGCAAGAUUACAUUUCCCAGACUCCUUUGCAGCUAGGUUUGGAUGACAGGAGUCCUGACCAAUGGCAUGUGGGCAGAAGUGAUGGGAUGUUGUCCAUGCUCCUUCCCCUCCAAUCAUACAUUUAAGGUGACAGCCUCAUAAGUUGGAAGUAGCCUAGAACUGCCAGGUAGGACCGCCUGAUGCUCAUCGGUUGGGAUCGGUACUAAUGGUUUGGUAUGACCUACAUAAUCUGGACAAGAAAGCUAACAAAUAGAGAAAAGGUACCAACUUCGAAAACAUACUAAACCUAAAAACAGUCGUUUAGGAAUGCAUAUGUAUGUAUUAAAAAUAUACUGAAAAGCAAGACUAAAAAUAAACAAACAAAAAAUCCAGAAGGCUAUUUUUCCCUCAGGUGGAGGAUGGAGAAGGGCGUGAUUAAGAGAGCACAAAAGGGGCUGAUUCAAAUGCAUUGGUAACACUGUCUUUAUUGGUAUGGGUCAUUUAUAUACGGUUUUCAUUAUGUUAUUUUUAUGUGUUAUUGUUGUAGAAAUAAUACACAAUAAAAAUUUAAAAGACAUGAUGGUGUUUUAUAUGUUAUCAUUUGUCUAUCUGUCUAUCUAUCUAUCUAUCUAUCUAUCCCUUUUCUCAUUCUGUGUAUA